AGACCCGAAACCCGGUGAUCUAGCCAUGGGCAGGUUGAAGGUUGGGUAACACUAACUGGAGGACCGAACCGACUAAUGUUGAAAAAUUAGCGGAUGACCUGUGGCUGGGGGUGAAAGGCCAAUCAAACCGGGAGAUAGCUGGUUCUCCCCGAAAGCUAUUUAGGUAGCGCCUCGUGAAUUCAUCUCCGGGGGUAGAGCACUGUUUCGGCUAGGGGGCCAUCCCGGCUUACCAACCCGAUGCAAACUGCGAAUACCGGAGAAUGUUAUCACGGGAGACACACGGCGGGUGCUAACGUCCGUCGUGAAGAGGGAAACAACCCAGACCGCCAGCUAAGGUCCCAAAGUCAUGGUUAAGUGGGAAACGAUGUGGGAAGGCCCAGACAGCCAGGAUGUUGGCUUAGAAGCAGCCAUCAUUUAAAGAAAGCGUAAUAGCUCACUGGUCGAGUCGGCCUGCGCGGAAGAUGUAACGGGGCUAAACCAUGCACCGAAGCUGCGGCAGCGACACUCAGGUGUUGUUGGGUAGGGGAGCGUUCUGU
RNAcentral lists this ribosomal RNA (536 nucleotides) under Salmonella enterica subsp. enterica serovar Infantis. RNAcentral describes it as "partial 23S ribosomal RNA". It matches the Rfam family "Bacterial large subunit ribosomal RNA", at positions 711 to 1244 of the family's 2925-position model. RNAcentral also lists the same sequence under 2 other names. The record is from RNAcentral. Lineage: Bacteria; Pseudomonadati; Pseudomonadota; Gammaproteobacteria; Enterobacterales; Enterobacteriaceae.